Molecule: long non-coding RNA, 358 nt
Filed under: Nicotiana tabacum (common tobacco)
Lineage: Eukaryota; Viridiplantae; Streptophyta; Magnoliopsida; Solanales; Solanaceae
Description: long non-coding RNA (NTAB_LNC014239)
Source: RNAcentral
AAUUCUCAACUCUUGUAGAUCGACAAAUCAAAAUAGCUCCACAAAAUCCCUGUAAUACCCUCUAUAUAUUCAGAACGAAAAAUUAGGGGGAAAAACCUCUAAAAAAUUCAGAACAAUAAAUUCUGAAUUUCUGCUAUAGCUACCUUUUCCAAGUAUAUAGGUUGAAAAGACGGCAAUAAAUGCAUAACCAAGAAAAAAAACCUAAAAGAAAAUUAAGUGUAACGGAAAAGUGGAAUAUAUGGAGAAGAGGAAGGGUAUUUCCGGGAAUAAAAAAUUACUGGCGCCGUAAGGAAAAUAUUAUCACCGGAUAAUGCGACGGCGAUGAUAGAGGAGAAAAGAAUAGAGAGAGAGAGAGAGA